UACGGGGGGGGCAAGCGUUGUUCGGAAUUACUGGGCGUAAAGGGCUCGUAGGCGGCCAACUAAGUCAGACGUGAAAUCCCUCGGCUUAACCGGGGAACUGCGUCUGAUACUGGAUGGCUUGAGUUCGGGAGAGGGAUGCGGAAUUCCAGGUGUAGCGGUGAAAUGCGUAGAUAUCAGGAGGAACACCUAUUGCGAAGGCAGGUCUCUGGGCCACUACUGACGCUGAGAAGCGAAAAGCAUGGGGGAGCGAAACAGG
RNAcentral lists this ribosomal RNA (256 nucleotides) under uncultured bacterium. RNAcentral describes it as "partial 16S ribosomal RNA". It matches the Rfam family "Bacterial small subunit ribosomal RNA", at positions 524 to 776 of the family's 1533-position model. The record is from RNAcentral.